Molecule: ribosomal RNA, 909 nt
Filed under: uncultured bacterium
Lineage: Bacteria
Description: bacterial SSU rRNA
Rfam family: Bacterial small subunit ribosomal RNA
Source: RNAcentral
AGAGUUUGAUCCUGGCUCAGGAUGAACGCUAGCGGCAGGCCUAACACACGCAAGUCGAACGGUAAGUUAAGAGCUUGCUCUUAACACGAGUGGCGAACGGGUGCGUAACGCGUAUGCAAUCUGCCCUUUUCUGGAAGAUAGCCCUUAGAAAUGAGGAUUAAUACUCCAUAGUAUAACAAUUUCGCAUGUUAUUGUUAUUAAAGCUUCGGCGGAAAAGGAUGAGCAUGCGUCCCAUUAGUUAGUUGGUAGGGUAAUGGCCUACCAAGACUCCGAUGGGUAGGGGGCCUGAGAGGGUUAUCCCCCACACUGGUACUGAGACACGGACCAGACUCCUACGGGAGGCAGCAGUGAGGAAUAUUGGUCAAUGGAGGCAACUCUGAACCAGCCAUGCCGCGUGCAGGAUGACUGCCCUAUGGGUUGUAAACUGCUUUUAUGUAGGAAGAAGCCUCAGUACGUGUACUGAGCUGACGGUACUACACGAAUAAGGACCGGCUAACUCCGUGCCAGCAGCCGCGGUAAUACGGAGGGUCCAGGCGUUAUCCGGAUUUAUUGGGUUUAAAGGGUACGUAGGCGGAAGAUUAAGUCAGUAGUGAAAGCCCAUCGCUCAACGAUGGAACUGCUAUUGAUACUGGUUUUCUUGAAUAUACUUGAAGUAGGCGGAAUACGACAUGUAGCGGUGAAAUGCAUAGAGAUGUCGUAGAACACCGAUUGCGAAGGCAGCUUACUAAGGUAUUAUUGACGCUAAUGUACGAAAGCGUGGGGAGCGAACAGGAUUAGAUACCCUGGUAGUCCACGCCGUAAACGAUGAUUACUCGGUGUCGGCGACAUACAGUCGGUGCCUAAGCGAAAGUGAUAAGUAAUCCACCUGGGGAGUACGAUCGCAAGGUUGAAACUCAAGGGAUUGACGGG